UACGGAGGGUGCAAGCGUUAUCCGGAUUCACUGGGUUUAAAGGGUGCGUAGGUGGGCAGGUAAGUCAGUGGUGAAAUCUCCGGGCGUAACCCGGAAACUGCCGUUGAUACUAUCUGUCUUGAAUAUAGUGGAGGUGAGCGGAAUAUGUCAUGUAGCGGUGAAAUGCUUAGAUAUGACAUAGAACAUCGAUUGCGAAGGCAGCUCGCUACGCUAUUAUUGACACUGAGGCACGAAAGCGUGGGGAUCAAACAGG
RNAcentral lists this ribosomal RNA (253 nucleotides) under uncultured bacterium. RNAcentral describes it as "partial 16S ribosomal RNA". It matches the Rfam family "Bacterial small subunit ribosomal RNA", at positions 524 to 776 of the family's 1533-position model. The record is from RNAcentral.